CGUAACACGUGGAUGACCUGCCCGAGAGUGGGGAAUAACUUGGGGAAACUCGAGCUAAUACCGCAUACGCUCGUACGGUUGCGGUCGUACGAGGAAAGCUGGCCUAUGUUUACAAGCUGGCGCUCACGGAGGGGUCCGCGUCUGAUUAGCUAGUUGGUGGGGUAAUGGCCUACCAAGGCGACGAUCAGUAGCCGGCCUGAGAGGGCGAUCGGCCACACUGGGACUGAGACACGGCCCAG
Molecule: ribosomal RNA, 239 nt
Filed under: uncultured bacterium
Lineage: Bacteria
Description: partial 16S ribosomal RNA
Rfam family: Bacterial small subunit ribosomal RNA
Source: RNAcentral